Molecule: long non-coding RNA, 284 nt
Filed under: Lathyrus oleraceus (garden pea)
Lineage: Eukaryota; Viridiplantae; Streptophyta; Magnoliopsida; Fabales; Fabaceae
Description: Pisum sativum (pea) long non-coding RNA (PSAT_LNC028868)
Source: RNAcentral
UAUACUCUGAUGUCUUGACUGAUGCCAUGACAUGCUUGAGUAGUAUGCUGCAGGAUUAGCUAAUACAGGAUUUACUGAAUGUCAAACUGGAUGUUAUGACAUUCAUCCCUGACAGCAGAUACUGAACUAUAGGCUAGUUGGUUUUUCUGUUAUAGUUCGGUAUUUAUUUCAGGCUGUUUUUCAGGAGAAUAACAGACCUAGUAUAUAGCCUAUUGUCUAGAUGUCAAACUGAAUGUUAUGACAUACAUUCCUGACAGCAUAUGCUAAAGUGUAGGCUAGUUAGU